UUUCAUUUUUUUUAUUUUUUAAGAGAAUGUUUUUGGUGUAAUUCAACGUAUUAAUAUAAUAUGCAACGAUUUUGAGGGAGUUAUGAUGUGUUGUUUUACUUUGAUCCGUGGAUUUUUUGAGACUGAUUUGAUAUUUGUGUAUAUAUAUCUCUAUUGAUGAUGUUGGUCAGCGUUUAAUGUUAAUUGGUCCGUAGUUUCGUGUUUUUUUUGAUGAAUUGUUGUAGUUAUAAUCUACAGGAGGACAGUAAUAUAAGGGCUAUCAAUUAUAAAUGGGAAUUUGGCGUGCUGACUUAAAAAGUAUUAUGUGUCUUAGAUGUAUCAGUUGAAUGGCCGUCGAGUUCCUGGGUAAUUCUAAUAAUCUUUCUCAUAUGAUCUGUUUUUAGUACAUGUCAUGCUGAGUUGAAGACUUGAUUAAAAAGCUACCUUUUUGAAAAAUUUAGUAGAUACCAUGGGAGUAUGCUUAGUACUUGUAAGUAGGGAUAGUUUGACUAAGGGCUCGUAUGCAUGGUUUUUUGCUGCUUCUUUUUAUAUACAAGCUUUUUGAGAAAGCUAACUUAAUUAAUGUUUAGCUCUAUUGCACGAACACUUCAAUUAGGG
Molecule: long non-coding RNA, 597 nt
Filed under: Olea europaea subsp. europaea
Lineage: Eukaryota; Viridiplantae; Streptophyta; Magnoliopsida; Lamiales; Oleaceae
Source: RNAcentral